UACGAGGGGGCAAAUGUUGUUCGGAAUCACUGGGCGUAAAGGGAGCGUAGGCGGGUUUCUAAGUCAGGUGUUUAAUCCCGGGGCCCAACCCCGGACAGGCACUUGAAACUGGGAAUCUUGAAUAGUGGAGAGGUCAGUGGAAUUGGGGGUGUAGCGGUGGAAUGCGUAGAGAUCCCCAAGAACACCAGUUGCGGAAGGCGGCUGACUGGACACAUAUUGACGCUGAGGCUCGGAAAGCAUGGGGAG
RNAcentral lists this ribosomal RNA (246 nucleotides) under uncultured bacterium. RNAcentral describes it as "partial 16S ribosomal RNA". It matches the Rfam family "Bacterial small subunit ribosomal RNA", at positions 524 to 768 of the family's 1533-position model. The record is from RNAcentral.